RNAcentral lists this transfer RNA (77 nucleotides) under Alcanivorax xiamenensis. Its description in RNAcentral is "Alcanivorax sp. 6-D-6 tRNA-Arg". It matches the Rfam family "tRNA". Rfam says of the family: Transfer RNA (tRNA) molecules are approximately 80 nucleotides in length. Lineage: Bacteria; Pseudomonadati; Pseudomonadota; Gammaproteobacteria; Oceanospirillales; Alcanivoracaceae. RNAcentral also lists the same sequence under 6 other names. The record is from RNAcentral.
GCGCCUGUAGCUCAAUUGGAUAGAGCAACGGCCUUCUAAGCCGUAGGUUGCAGGUUCGAGCCCUGCCAGGCGUGCCA